RNAcentral lists this ribosomal RNA (495 nucleotides) under uncultured bacterium. RNAcentral describes it as "partial 16S ribosomal RNA". It matches the Rfam family "Bacterial small subunit ribosomal RNA", at positions 28 to 507 of the family's 1533-position model. The record is from RNAcentral.
GACGAACGCUGGCGGCGUGCCUAAUACAUGCAAGUAGAACGCUGAAGGAGGAGCUUGCUUCUCUGGAUGAGUUGCGAACGGGUGAGUAACGCGUAGGUAACCUGCCUGGUAGCGGGGGAUAACUAUUGGAAACGAUAGCUAAUACCGCAUAAUAGUGGAUGUCGCAUGACAUUUGCUUAAAAGGUGCAAUUGCAUCACUACCAGAUGGACCUGCGUUGUAUUAGCUAGUUGGUGAGGUAACGGCUCACCAAGGCAACGAUACAUAGCCGACCUGAGAGGGUGAUCGGCCACACUGGGACUGAGACACGGCCCAGACUCCUACGGGAGGCAGCAGGAGGGAAUCUUCGGCAAUGGACGGAAGUCUGACCGAGCAACGCCGCGGGAGUGAAGAAGGUUUUCGGAUCGUAAAGCUCGGUUGUAAGAGAAGAACGAGUGUGAGAGUGGAAAGUUCACACUGUGACGGUAUCUUACCAGAAAGGGACGGCUAACUACGUG